This 763-nucleotide long non-coding RNA is filed under the name Mytilus galloprovincialis (Mediterranean mussel). Lineage: Eukaryota; Metazoa; Mollusca; Bivalvia; Mytilida; Mytilidae. The record is from RNAcentral.
AUUUUGAUAUUAAAACAGUCCAUUUAAAAUUUGGUGAUUAACUUGUUUCUUCAUAUGCCUCCUUUAAAUAGAGAAGGGUGAUACCGUUUAUGAUAACACAAAUGUGGAUAUAUUGUCCUGUUUACUUACUAUAACAAUUACGGUACUACUAUUAUAAAUGAAUGGAUUGUAUGUAUUUUACAAAACAUCUAAUAACAGAGGCUGGUCAAAUGUAUGGCAUUGCUAAUAUAUUCUUAAUAAAAACAGAAUAACAUUAAGUAUUCAAUAGAAGUAAAAGACAACUAUUAACAAGAGUGAUUUGCAGAUUUAAAUAAGUCCUGAAAAGUUUUUUGUUAUAGAAUGAACAGACUUUAUAAAAUUUGAAAAGUUUUUUCCAGUUUUGCCGUUUAAUUUUGAAUAUGUUUUGCGCAAAUGUAGUUAUUAGACAAUCGUUUACCUGUAGAUGUUACACUUUGUAACAAAUACAGCUGUGUCACAAACCACGCCUCGUGUGGGGAGAUAAAAUACCAUGUAUAGUUUCCAGAAAUAAUUUUUUUUUAUUAAAGGAGUGCAAACUAUACUGAAUAUAAAAAAAGAGAACAUGUACAAUUUCAUAAAAUUUCAUUUCUUUUCUGAGAAUUGAAUAAAAGAACCUCACAUAUAAAGUUUAAUAAAUGUUCAUGAAGCUCGAGAAAAAUCCUGGGCUUUAAAUAUAAUGACUCAUAAAAAAAUCACUGUUUACAAUAUAUGCAUAGUUUACCUAAAGCCAUGUACGUACAGAAAC